GCCAACGGCCAUACCACGUUGAACCACGCAGUUCUCGCCGAUCACUGAAGUUAAGCAACGUCGGGCCCGGUUAGUACUUGGAUGGUGACCGCCUGGGAAUCCUGGGUGGCUGUUGGUA
This 118-nucleotide ribosomal RNA is filed under the name Orchesella cincta. The record is from RNAcentral. Lineage: Eukaryota; Metazoa; Arthropoda; Collembola; Entomobryomorpha; Orchesellidae.